GAGUUUGAUCCUGGCUCAGAAUGAACGUUGGCGGCGUGGAUUAGGCAUGCAAGUCGUACGGGCCGCAAGGCCAGUGGCGCAAGGGUGAGUAAGGCGACGGUAACCAACCCCGUGACUGGGUAUAGCCGUGGGAAACCGCGGGUAAUCCCCAGCGACGUCCGGGAGGGGCAUCCCUCCGGGACCAAAGCUCCGGCGUCGCGGGACGGGCCGUCGUGCUAUUAGCUUGUUGGCGGGGUGACGGCCCACCAAGGCUGUGAUGGCUACCGGGCGUGCGAGCGUGGCCCGGCACACUGGGACUGAGACACUGCCCAGACUCCUACGGGAGGCUGCAGUCGGGAAUCUUCGGCAAUGGGCGCAAGCCUGACCGAGCGACGCCGCGUGGAGGACGAAGGCCUU
RNAcentral lists this ribosomal RNA (396 nucleotides) under uncultured bacterium. Its description in RNAcentral is "bacterial SSU rRNA". It matches the Rfam family "Bacterial small subunit ribosomal RNA", at positions 9 to 418 of the family's 1533-position model. The record is from RNAcentral.